GGGAAGUUCUCGUGUCUCCGGCAACGUUAAGUGCGUAAGUCGCUGGCAGAGCUUCGGUGCCUUCUGACUUCUGUUUGGCUUUCCCCAGGGUCUGGUUCCUUACUCCCCGCCAAAAACACCCUUCUGUGGGUUGCACUAGAAAGAAGUGGCAAGACUGACAAAUCAACGCACUGCCGUUUCAUGCAGGUGACCACUCCUUGCUGUUAUAUUAUUAACGGCUGCCCCUCCUCCAGAUCUCUGAAAUGCUUCCUGAUCUGGUCUCCUGAUACAACCUCAGGCCAAGUGGUUCUCAGAAGUCGGAGAGAGCAGUUUUUCUUCUUCCCCCCCCCCCCCCCCAGUAUAGCAUUUCCGAUAAUGAGCAAACAGUGCCGUGGGAUCGAGCAGUAACUGUAACCUUGAACACUUGCCCUAGGGACUUCAGUGUUCACUCCAACAACCCAAGCAAGGACUGCUAGAAAGUCUAGUGACAGAGGACUCCUUUAACUGGAGGCGAGAGUCAAACCAGAGUCCCUAAAAAGAACUGUAUACUAUAAGACACCAAUCUCUCAAGGCAUCAGCUUUUCAAAAGGACGAUGUUCAACUCAGAGGAAUAUGCCUUGUUCGACUUCUGGGCACUGUGACCAAGUGAAGAACCCCAGAUACCGUGGGGCUGGGGGGUGGGGGUGGGGAGUGAUGCCCUGUGGCGAGGGACGAACCAGGGAUUGCUUUCUGAGUUCUAAUAAGUGACACUAGGGAAGCAAUUGUCUUCUCAUGCUCAACAGUGGCCCACUGAACUUCCACACUGAGGAGAGCUCAUGUCGCUCAGGGGCUGAGGUGUGUUUAUAUGGGAUGGCAAGACGGGGCAACGGCUGGGGAGCAGGUGUAGGCAGGAGGGGCCUUCCCACACAGCCCCAACUGCUCUAGCCAUUUCCUGUCUGAGCCGCUAUCUUCCAGGGACUGAUGCUCUAGGGACUUUGGACAGCUGUGAAGGUGGCUAUCUCGGGUGCAUAUCAUGGAAUGAGGGUCCGCUUCUAGAAAGCCCAGGGCUACGAGGCAGAACUCCAGCAGAGGCUGUCUUCAGUGGAGAGAGAACUCACAGGAAAGCAGGGUAGGACUAUGCCGGGUACCACCCAGACCACCCUCUGGCCUGAGGAUGCCCUGUCAGCGCCAGCCAGAGCGCAGCCCUAGCCCACAGCGGUGCCGGCUGGCUGGACCCAGAAUGCGGUGCUUUUCCACAGAUUCCAGAAGACCACCUGAAUCACCAGUUUCUCCCUGUGCGGCUCACCCUGGGGGACAACCACGGCCACACCCUGCCCACCCUUUCUGUAUUUCCACUGGGACAGCUCUGCCAGCAGCGGGGACCUUUGGAAGGAGGUGGGGCGUGUCUCAGGUAUGUGACUUCCCUUUGGUUUGUUGGUUUAUUUCUACUGAAAGAGGCCAUGGUCUCCUGAGUGUCCUUCUCGGAGCCUCUCAGCAGGUGCAGGCCCAGAGAGAACAGCUGACUCCAUCUAGCAAACUCAACAUACCCUUCUAGACCCUGGGCCCCCUUUCUAAGGAGGCUACUCUGCUUAGACCCGCUGCGUGAUAAAAUCUGGAAGUCGGACAAGUAAGGAGGGACAAUGGUGGUGGGAACAGCACAGCAAUGCUCCCUCUCUGUACGUGGCCUUGUGCCAUCACACCCUGUAGCAUAAGCCAACGGAGCAAGGGCAAGUCACAUGCCCAGGGCCUGCCUCUACGCCUCCAAAGACUGUAUUCUCACCAUUGGCAUGGGUUCCAUCCCUGUGGUGGCAGAAAUCCAAAAAGGGUAAGGAAGGGCUUCCCAGGGUGGGUCACAGGUGAGAAGCUGCCACCUCCUACGGAGUCACAUCAAAUCCUCAUGAGGAACGACGAGACGGACUGUGAUCAGCCCCAUCUUACGGUGAAGAAACCGAGCGCCAGCCAGACAGCUUAAGAACAGUGGCCGAGGUCAUACCGUGAAGGAGGGUUAGAGCCAGGAUUUUAGUCCUCAACGUACAAAGUACCGUGUCUGGCUCAGAACAGUCACUCGCUAAAAAGAUCUGAAAACAAAACAAAACAAAACAAACCUGCAGACAUGGAAAUAACCAUGCCAUCACCAGCAGAGCCUUGUCCUGAGCCCAGGAGGGCCUGGGCUGCUCGACGGGAUCAUCGGCCCGAGGAGUCCGAGUGCUGGGGCUGCCCUCUCCUCCCUGGGAACACCACCUCGCCUUUUACCUCCUGGCUCUAGAGGGUAGCUCUGGACCCACGCUCACUGAUUUAGGACACAAGGGUGGGUAAGGCCCAUUUAUCCUUCCUGAGACCCAGGCCAGGACUAUGGGCAGUGAGCAAAGCUGAGUGAGUGCCAGGUUGAAGGCAAGGGCUGAAUUGCUAGAAAACCCGCUGAGGUGCGGAGGAAACCCCCGAAGUCUACCGGAAGUGUGAGUAGUCUUCCCCCGCCUGGCCUCAAAUACACCUAACCUGCCCUUCGACGUUCAGCUCAACUCCCUCCUCCUCCAGAAGCCUUCUCUGAAGUCCCACCCACUAGGAGCGGUUUCCAGUUCCUGUGAACAUCCACAUUUCACCGGGGCUCAUCCCAGGAGAUCUAGGGGGAAAAAAAAAAACCCAAACAACAAUGGUUCUCAAUCCUGGCUGCACGCUGGAAUUCACUGGAGAACUUUUCCUCUUCAAUGAAGGAGCGCCUGGGUAGCACAGCCAGUUAAGUGUCUGACUUCGGCUCAGGUCAUGAUCUCACAGCUUGUGAGUUUUUUGAGCCCCGCAUCGGGCUCUGUGCUGACAGCUCAGAGCCUGGAGCCUGCUUCGGAUUCUGGCUCUCCCUCUCUCUCUCAAAAACAAACAUUAAAAAAAAAAUGAUGAAAAUACUUAUGCCCAGGCCCAACUUCUGAAUAAUCGAAUCAGAGCUUCUGGGAUUGGCACCAGGGAAUCAGUAUUUUUAUUUCAUUUUUUAAGUUUGAGAGAGAGACAUAGUGAGCAGGGGAGGGCCAGAGAGAGUUGAGGGAGAAUCCCAAACAGACUCUGUGCUGUCAGCACGGAGCCCGACGUGGGCUCGAACUCAUGAACUGUGAGAUCAUGACCCAAGCCAAAACCAAGAGUCAGACGCUUACCUGAUGGAGCCACCCAGACGCCCGUGGGAAUCAGUAUUUUAAAAAUCAGCCAGGACUGGGGACCAGGGCUACUGCACCCUGAAAUCUGACUGUGGCCUUUUUGUCCCCCCCCCCCCCCCCCCCACUGCCAUCUAGCUGGGAGCUCCUCAGGGCAAAGCCCCAGCCCCAUGUAGCUCUGUUCUGGACACCAAGCCCGGGCUUCCCCAUCACCCGUGCUCAUCGGAUGCUUGCUGAGCGAUGGCACCCUCGACUGAAAAUCGCAAUAGCCCCCAGGUGGAUACGGGGCACGUUUUGCUUUGUCUUGUAAGGAGUCCUAUGUGUUCAUCCUCUGAUACAGGCAGCCUAAGAACACGGAUUCCAAAGAAAAUAAAUCCCCCACUCCCCUCACCCCGUGAACAUCCCAGGGGAGGAACAGGCUAUGCUGUUGGUUAUCUCCUGCUUUCAAUUAAGGAGGCUUCAGCCAGAUUCCUUGUGUGCCUCUGAGGCCCCAGCCUUGUAAAUGGCACACUUUCAAUUAUUUAUCUAAACAAAGGUGAGCCAGAGGGCAGCGCUAAACGCUUGUCUGGCGAACUUGAGCCCAACUCUGCGCCCUUGGAAUUCUCAAGCUUAUAGGACUUGGCUUUGCGACUCCAAUUUCCUUAACCCCCCCCCCCCCCAAAAAAAAGGAAGAAGAAGAAAGAAAAAAAUGGAAAAAAGGCACAUUAGCUACAAGGCCAUAAAUUCCAUUCCAGAGGUGAGAGGCGUGCCAGAGGGGAGCUGCGGGGACCCGAGCUCUGUGGCCGCUGCGAAUGCGAUUUCGUUGCUAGGCUGCUGAACUCAAAUAGUCGUAACUCACUGGCGAGGAGGUGGACCGCAGACUCCCUUCCAGUUUUGCGCUCUCUCCUGUCGGAGGACGCGUAACGUUCUACGCCACCGAUGAAUAAUAAAUCCCCUUAAAAAAGGAACAGAGACCAACGGCGAUCUGCAGAUCGAAGUGGAGGAAAGGCUGCCUCUCGCCUGUGAAGACAGGCUCCUGGCUCGUUGCCAGCAAGACGAGCGUUCUGAGCUGUUCUUUUUGGGGACGGGUCGGUGCCCCCUCCCUCUGAGGACCAGCCUGUGAUGUGCACAUGACACAGCCUGCUGUCCUGCGGGUACACUGGUGGCCGUGGGGGGAGCAGUGAGAACUGUCUCUGCGGAGAUCGAGCACCUUCGUGGGCCAUGAGACGUCAGCUACAGUGAAAGAGUGAUUCGAGAACAAAGUGGCUGGAAGUCAGGAUUCCUGGGCAUCGGCAGUAGAGACAGCAGCCAAUGUUUAUGGAGCACGCGACCAUCCUCUCGGUCCGCUAGCAGCAGGGAGAGGCGUUAUCCGGCCGUACAGAGGUCCACAGGGGUUAGGCGACUUGCUCUGGUCACACCACAAGGGACGGGGCUGGAAUCGGUACCAGAAUCGGCCGGACUCGAAAGCCUGGGUUCUGAAUCUCGCUGUUACACAACCGUCCCGGGUCCCAGGACAGACACUCGAAAAUGUUUCUGGAAUCCACUUCUCUCCGUCCCCGCUGCCAACUACCUUAGCUCAGACCUAAAAUCCCUCAGGCUUACCUUUUUUAUAGUCUCUUAAUUCAUCUUCCUGCUUCCAAUCUUUCCCACAUCCCAUCAAGCGCAAACAUUUUAAAGUGUGUGUAUUUUACGACCCUGUGCAAGAAUGUCCCUUGGCGCCCGGUGCAUACCGAUCCAGUCCGAUCCUUGGUGAGGCCCAAGUGGCCUCACCUCACCCUCUGUCUUUAUCAUUCCCCACCGUGAUCAGCCACACCAAAUGUCCUGCUCAGAAGAACCCUCUGUAAAAAUUCUCUGCCUCCUUCAGUUCGCCUGUUUAUGUGUUUGUCCUUCCGCCCAGACCGUGAGCUCCUAGGAGGCACGAGGCUGGUCUUGUCCAUCGUUGUAAUUUCCCCAGGAUCUGGCAGAAGGGAGAUGCUCACGGAUGUUACAAAGCUGACCCACUCACUGAUCGAAGGAACAGAAUCUCUAAGUUGGGGCAGUGGAGGGAGGGGGGAGAGGGGGAAGCAAAGAUCACUGAAUUUUUUUUUUUUUUUUAAUAAGCUUCAUCUCAAUGUGACUGGGUGCUAAGGACACAUCAACUCUCUUAAUUUUUUUAAUGUUUGUUCAUUUUUGAGAGACAGACACAGGGCAUGAGCGGAGGAGGGGCAGAGAGAGAGGGAGCCACAGAAUCUGAAGCAGGCUCCAGGCUCCGAGCUGUCAGCACAGAGCCCGACGCGGGGCUCGAACCCACGAGCCGUGAGAUCAUGACCCGAGCCGAAAUCGGAUGCUCAACCGACUGACCUACCCAGGUGCCCCGAUCACUGAAUUUCUGACAACUGACCAUACAUGCAUGGGGGUCUCAGUAUCAUCAGUCUUAACAGUUCCUAUGUUAUAGUGUCCUAGAUUUCGCUAAAUUUCGGGAAUAGCCACAAGAACCUAAGAAAUUAAAUUCUAGCUAAAAAUGUUGGACACUUCAGUCCAGACUUACUCCGCUCAAAAGUAUUUUCCUCAGGGACGCCUAGCUACUCACAGUAGCAUCUGAUCCUAGAACGUCUACCUUUCUCUUUGCUUGGCCAAAGCACAAUUUUCUCGCUUCAUCAAGAAUUCUCGUUGACUGCUGCUAUCCUCACUUGAUGAAAUAAAGAGCCCGCACCUGGGGAUUACCCGGAGUCUGCAGGGUCUUCCCGCCUUCCCCGUGAGAAGUGGAAGUUAGCCUGGGCAGAGGUUAGCUUCAAGGUUUAUCUCAACCUCCUCUGCUUUGACACCGUCCCUGGCUCUUAGAGCCAAGCAGCAAGUGACUUCCUCUCCCCCUGAACGUUCAUGGCACCUGUUCUGUGGGUCACUAGGGCCCUGUAAAAAGUCACAUGCAGCAAAUCACAGUGGACAGGGCACAGCGCUGGGACCGUCAUCCCAGUUGAAUUACAAAUGCAUCCUGGGGCCCCCGGUGGUGGACUCCCCUCGCCGGACCUCUGUUUACUCGGCUGCAAAAUGAGCGAGUUACACGAGUUGAAUUACAUGGCCUCCUUCCAGCUUUUUUUUCAGAUCUAUAACUCUAUGAAAAAGGCCAGAUACUUUGACACUAUUUGAAAGCUCCCUUGUGGGGUAGAAGGUGAAGGGUAAAAAGUAUAGAACUCGGGGUCACAAACGACUUAAGAGUUGAAAACAAUGAUUUGGAGACGUUCCUCAUUUUCCACAAGGCCACACGAUGGCAACCUCAAACGAAACACGCAACCAGGAGAUGGCCCAGCAGGGUAAGAGUUAGUGUCCAUUGGGCCUGAUGCCGUAGGUUGUAUUGACCAUGCCACGUUCAUCGUGAUAAAGAUGGGUGACCGCAAUCGUACGCAAACUCAGACUUCACACACACGGGAAAAGCGACUUAAAUGUGCCUUUCGGUCAUGAUCAACCAGGGUGAAUUCAAAACAUACCGCUGUGGGUGAGCCAAAUCCACAUCCCUUGAAACGCACGAAAUAGACGUACAAGUGGAUUCCUCUGGGGAUGAGCUUUGAGUUGUAAGGGACUUGGCAAGGGAAAGGGAGACCUGGAGAACCAGCAUUUUCUUAUUAAACUACAUAAUCCCGUAUCUUAAAAAAAUAAUUUAUAAAGACAUGUUAAAAUGAGAACAAGAUCACAUUCAAAGGAAGAGAUAAAGAUAGCAGAAAGUCAGGCUAAAGAGAGCUUCUACAGUGGAGCACUACGCUUGGAGCUGAUUUUCCUGGCCGUGGAGCCUAAAAAGGGACCUACGAGGAGUUAGUUCUAAUAUGUAUAGGUCUGUACAGAAGGUGGGAAAUUUACCAAAGGGAUGUUCAUCACUCAGAGUCCCAAGUGGAAACAGACGGUACAUUACAAUUAGGAUAGGAGCGCCAGGGUGGCUCGGUCGGUUAAGCGUCCGACUUUGGCUCAGAUCAGGAUCUCGUGGUUUCGUGAGUUCGAACCCCCCAUCUGGCUGUCCGCUGUUAGUGUAGAGCCUGCUUCGGAUCCUCGGUGCCCCCCCCCCCCCCCCCCGCUCAUGCUCGCUCACUCUCUCUCAAAAAAUAAACUUAAAGAAUAAAAUAAAAUCAGGAUAACCCAAAGAGGGAUUGCUUACAAAGAGGCUAAAGUACAAAUAUGUGGUCAGGGUGUAGGGAAACCAUAAGGCCAAGCGCAGGAACUCAGGGUUGGCCACAGAGGAGCUGUUGUCGCCCGUAGGGGGUUGAAUACUGGUCCUCCACCCAGGAACCUUAGAACGCGAUCUUAUUUGGAAACAAAAUCUCUACAGAUGUAAAUCGGGUAAUGAUAGAUCAUACUGGAUUGGGGUGGGCCCUCAUUUCAACGGUAGUGUCCUCAUAUGAGACAGAAAAUGAUACACAGAGACAGAGAAGGCAACCAUGUAAAGACGGAGGCAGGGAUUGGAGUGAUAUGUUUGCAAACCAAGGAAUACGAAACACUGUUGGCAAGCACCACAAGCUCUCAGAAGAGCACAGGCUAGCUUCUCCUUAAGAACCCGCAGAAGGAACCAGCCCUGAUGACACCUUUAUUUCAGACUUCUGGCCUCCUGAACCGUAAGAGAAUACAUUUCUGGUGUGCGAACCCACGCGGUUUCUGGUGAUUUGUCAUGGCGGCCCCAGGAAACUAAUAUACCCCUGCGCUUCCUAAAGGGAUGAAAAGAUGGCAAGGAACUGAGCCCAGUGGGAGACUGUGUACCAAGUGGGCCCCUGGGUGGGGCGGCGACCCUUCAGUGGCAGGAGAGCACCAGGCUGGGACAGCCUUGUAAGAAGGGAGCCGGAGGAAUAAAUGUCCCAGCCUCACCCUCUUUCUUCCAUCCCUCCCAUCUCCACCUGGGGCUUCUCACGGGUUAUACCUAACAGCUAUACCCAGAGGGUGUGAGAGGCCUGCAGACAUGGGCCACACAGGCCAGCCCCCGGGCACAGAGCGGGAGGUCACAGGGUGGACAGUGUAUCUGGAGCGGUGGACAAAACUGUAACUCAAGCUUCUCUCUUUGGCCCCUUUGUUCUCCGGUCUCUACACUCAGCCUUCAUGGUGGCUUUUGUUGUAACAGGGAUUCCAGGAUCCGCACCAUCAGCCCAGCCUCCCUCUCCAGCUCCAGUCCCAGCCCAGGAAAUCUUUACCAAGACAGCUCAUCAGCCCUUCAGAGUCAAAACAUUCGAGGAUCAACCGUAUCAUCUUCUUUCCAAAACCAACAUCCUCUUUGGAAUUCCUUAUCUUACCUCUCCAACCCAUUUAGGCUCAAACUCUCUGAUUCAUUCUCUUUGCCCCAAAAUAUCAAGGCUUGUUGGUUUUAAUAAAGACACUGU
Molecule: long non-coding RNA, 8404 nt
Filed under: Lynx pardinus (Iberian lynx)
Lineage: Eukaryota; Metazoa; Chordata; Mammalia; Carnivora; Felidae
Source: RNAcentral